CACCCGAAAUAAAUCAAGCUAUUUUUUUAUGUGUUUGUAACGUUGUAAAGUUAUAACUAAUUUAAAAAUAAAAGCUAUAUACUAAUUGCGGUUUUUGAUAUCUGGUUAUUUGUUAGUUGUGUUUAGUACAGAAAUUUAUGUUUAUAUGAAUUUUGAUUAAGUUUGGGUAAGCUAAACUUAUUAUAUAUUAAUUUAAGUUUUAUAAUAAAUUUUUUUUAUACUCUUAAUAUUAGGGAUUUUUAGUUUGUUAUAAAUAAUUUAAUUAUACGUUUUUAUUUGUUUUUAUAUAAUUAUUUUUUAAAACAUUUAAUGGAAUAGAUUUUAUUAAUGAUGAUAAUAAUUAGUAUAAUAUGUUUAUUUAGUAUUAGUAUUUUGAAGUUUAUGCUAAUGUAACUUUAUUUUUAGAAUAUAUUACAAUAAUUAAUUUGGCAAAUAGUUAUUUCCGACUGUUUAACAAAAACAUUUCUUUUUGCAUUUAAUAAAAAGUAGGCCCUGCCCGGUGUAAUUUAUUAUUAACGGCGGCAUUAGCGUGAGUGUCCUAAGGUAGCGUGAUAAUUUGUUUUUUAAUUGGAAAAUGGUAUGAAAGGGUUAACGUGAAAUAAGCUGUAUCAUUAUAAAGUUUUAAAAAUUAACUUUAAAGUGAAGAGGCUUUAAUGUGAAAAAAAGACGACAAGACCCCGUGAAGCUUGACCUUAUUAAGCACGUUGUUUUUAUAUGGUUUUAAUGGGAAAUUAUUUUUAUUAUGUUUAAGAAAUAUAAUGCUUUCUUACAGGUUUUAAAUCUAUUUUUGUAGAUAUGAUUAAGCUACUCCGGGGAUAACAGCACUAUUUUUUCGUAGAGGUUCCUAUCGAUGAAAAAGUUUGUGACCUCGAUGUUGGCUUUAGAAAACUAAAAGGUGUAGCAGCUUUUUAAGUGGGUCUGUUCGCCCUUUAAUAUCUAACAUGAGCUGAGUUCAGAACGGCGUAAGCUAGUUCAGUUUCUAUCUUUUUUAAAAAAAAAUUAAAUAUAUUAGUACGAAAGGAAU
This 1024-nucleotide ribosomal RNA is filed under the name Septifer bilocularis. RNAcentral describes it as "large subunit ribosomal RNA". The stretch from base 636 to 993 matches the Rfam family "Bacterial large subunit ribosomal RNA", at positions 2049 to 2651 of the family's 2925-position model. The record is from RNAcentral. Lineage: Eukaryota; Metazoa; Mollusca; Bivalvia; Mytilida; Mytilidae.